UGUAUGUCAUUACCACAUUGAUAUUUCAUUCUAUGUUGCUUCCACCUCCUAGAAUUCUUGGUGGUGGGAGGUUUUUUCAUCUUACUUUUCUUGCUUAGGCUGUUGAUUUGUCUGAAUAUGAGGGAAAAUGCUACAAAACUUUCAACAACGGAUCUCUUGGCUCCUGCAUCGAUGAAGAACGCAGCGAAAUGCGAUAAUUAAUGUGAAUUGCAGAAUUCCGUGAAUCAUCGAGUCUUUGAACGCACAUUGCGCCUCAUGGCAUUCCGUGAGGCAUGCCCAUCUCAGCGUUAGUAAAUAUUAUCAAAUUUUAGUGCUGUGCUGAAAUUUGGAUGAUGUCAAAGAAGCUAUUACUAUUAUUGUGAUAUCUCUUUGGAAAUCAAUAGGUCUUCAAGUUGCUAUUCAUGGAACGUGAUGAAAAUUACUUCGUUCUAUUGUAGUUGGCUUGUAUAGUCCUAAAACUUGUAUGCCUCUGGCAUCUCUUCUGAUUUAACCUGAGAUUGGGUAGGGAUACCCGCUGAACUUAAGCAUAUCA
This 532-nucleotide ribosomal RNA is filed under the name uncultured fungus. RNAcentral's name for it is "eukaryotic LSU rRNA". The stretch from base 137 to 290 matches the Rfam family "5.8S ribosomal RNA". RNAcentral also lists the same sequence under 1 other name. Lineage: Eukaryota; Fungi. The record is from RNAcentral.